UGUAGGGUGGCUGAGUCUAAAGGCGAUGGGCUGUAGUCCUAUUUACGGGCUAAAUGCCCCCCUAUAA
This 67-nucleotide transfer RNA is filed under the name Ceraesignum maximum. Its description in RNAcentral is "tRNA-Tyr". The record is from RNAcentral. Lineage: Eukaryota; Metazoa; Mollusca; Gastropoda; Littorinimorpha; Vermetidae.